RNAcentral lists this ribosomal RNA (333 nucleotides) under uncultured soil bacterium. Its description in RNAcentral is "bacterial SSU rRNA". It matches the Rfam family "Bacterial small subunit ribosomal RNA", at positions 26 to 363 of the family's 1533-position model. The record is from RNAcentral.
AGGACGAACGCUGGCGGCGUGCUUAACACAUGCAAGUCGAACGGUAAGGCCCCUUCGGGGGUACACGAGUGGCGAACGGGUGAGUAACACGUGGGUAAUCUGCCCUGCACUUCGGGAUAAGCCUGGGAAACUGGGUCUAAUACCGGAUAUGAACUCCUGCCGCAUGGUGGGGGUUGGAAAGUUUUUCGGUGCAGGAUGAGCCCGCGGCCUAUCAGCUUGUUGGUGGGGUAAUGGCCUACCAAGGCGACGACGGGUAGCCGGCCUGAGAGGGUGAUCGGCCACACUGGGACUGAGACACGGCCCAGACUCCUACGGGAGCAGCAGUGGGGAAUA